GAUCCACGAUGUGGACAUUGAUGGAGCAGCCCCUUGUACCUUUCCCAAGCUUCAUAAUAGCACUCCGAGUCUAGUUGAGAGAAUGUGGUGAUUUCGUCCCUCAAAUU
Molecule: small nucleolar RNA, 107 nt
Filed under: Olea europaea subsp. europaea
Lineage: Eukaryota; Viridiplantae; Streptophyta; Magnoliopsida; Lamiales; Oleaceae
Description: Plant small nucleolar RNA R71
Rfam family: Plant small nucleolar RNA R71
About the family: R71 is a member of the C/D box family of snoRNAs containing the C (UGAUGA) and D (CUGA) box motifs. Multiple nearly identical copies of this snoRNA have been identified in Arabidopsis, and it is thought to function as a 2'-O-ribose methylation guide for 18S ribosomal RNA.
Source: Rfam by way of RNAcentral